Musa acuminata subsp. malaccensis (wild Malaysian banana) is the source of this 1309-nucleotide RNA transcript. RefSeq lists it as uncharacterized. The record is from RefSeq and is a predicted model, not a curated record. NCBI's taxonomy places the organism in Eukaryota, Viridiplantae, Streptophyta, Magnoliopsida, Zingiberales, Musaceae.
CUCGGCUGCCCGCGCCAUCGCAAAGCUGUUCAUCGGUCUCUCCUCCCUCGCCAUUCAGCAUGCUUCUCGAGAGCUGGACUCGCGACGAUGACAUCGAGGUACGUGAAACGAACGAGAUCAAGAUGCGCCUUCGGAUGAUAUCCGCCCUGGAGGGCUCAACCAGCGCCUUCCUGUUCCUCGGGUUCGAUAAACCCUAAGAUCUUCCUGUUCUUAGGGUUAACAUUUGGAAUUUUGAUCGAAUCUUGAAGGUUUUUGGUGCGAUUGUUUCAGCGUCUCUUGUUCUGUUCGAAAGAUUCGUCCCAAGAUUUACUUAGGGCUUGACGUUGUGUUGUUCAAUCCUGCAUCGUUCUUUCAGUUGGAGGUUCGCAGAUGUGUUGACCGUGGGCGAUCUCUUCCGGCGAGCUAUGCGCCACUGGCGUACGAACCUUGGACCACUGGAACUCGAGGCUGCGUUGAGGAUCCUCAAUACUAUUGUACAUCUGCAAAUUGCAACCUGUUCACUAUUAGAUUACUGACAGAUUGACAGAAAAGCACAGAGUUCAAAGAGAUGCUGAAAUUGGAUGGUUUGGAAUGUCCUGCUAUCAAUGGAAAAUUGGGAACGAGAAGGAUGAGAGUGGAGCUCUUAAAAUUUGAGAGAACAACAUGCGAAUAUGUAACUACGUGUACAUUCCCCAGUUAUGGAAGAUACAAGUAUCACUAUUUGGACAUUAUGCCUUCGAAGGACCAUCAACUUCCACAGGCAUAAAAUCUGGUACGUCCAACUCAACAGACUUUGGCUGUCCUGUGGCAGAACAGCACAUGUAUGGCCAGUGUUGCUGCACGAGGUGCUCAAAACAUCCACUCCGAAGUGAUGCGUAAGUUGGCGAAUCUCCGGUAUAUCGAAGCAACAAGGUGUAGCAGAUCCACUCCGACCUCUAAGGCCUUACGUCCCCAGUGGGCGGUGGGAGGAGCCGGGAAGGGAGGUUCGGCCACCAUAAAGAAAAGCAAAGCAGGCAAAGCCAAGUGCUGGCAAAAGGGUCGCCAUCUGAACUAGCGUGGCAAGAAAACGUGUGGUGGUAUCGGAGAUUCUAGGAGAUAAGAAGACAUCUGACAAAGGAAGAAAUAGAAAGGGUCCUCCUUUCCUCACCUUCGCUCUCCAUGCUUUAGUAAUUCUGUCUUUCUUGCCUCUCCAGCUUGUCGAUCAAUACAAGAUUUCUUCCUAGAAUUGUUCUGUUGCUGGUUCUGUUGUAGAAAUGUUGUUGACUCGGUUACCAAGUUGUGGAAGGAGUGACGGAGGUAUGGUUCAUCUUUAUUCCCUCCGCUUUACAUA